Cercocebus atys (sooty mangabey) is the source of this 125-nucleotide ribosomal RNA. The record is from Ensembl. NCBI's taxonomy places the organism in Eukaryota, Metazoa, Chordata, Mammalia, Primates, Cercopithecidae.
AUCUAUAGCCAUACUACCCUCAACCUACCUGAUCUCAGAAGCAAAGCAGGGUCGGGCCUAGUUAGUGCUUGGACAGGAGCAGUGUGAAACACCACCAAUAUAUUAUCUCAUAGUUUCUGUAAGUC